GGAGGAGGAGCCGCAGCAGAACCACACGGUUUUCCCGCCUGCCCGCUGAGUCUGCAGCCCCCCUGGCCCUGGCAGCAUCGACCCCCCCCAGAUCCCACAGAAUUUGUCUCAAACUUUGUCCAGAUGGAGCUGGAGGAGGCUGCGAGGAAAAGGAAGAUGGUGUGGGACACUGAGGCAGGCACUGAGCUGCAGAUGGAGACCAGGGAGAGCAAAUCCCUGCUGCAGAGCCUCAUGGAAGAGGCCAUUUGGAGCAGCUCCAUGGCACAGGAAUCCUGUUGGGAGGAAAAGCCCUGGAGAUGUCACACAAGGAGGGGCUGCAAACCCGGGAGCUGUGAGGAGGAAAGGUGCCCCUUGUGUCUGGAAGGUGGCCAGAGAUCCAUUUGGAACUCAGAGGUGGUGGAGGCAACUCAUGGCAGGCAGAAGCCCCACAAGUGCUUGGAAUGUGGAAAGGGCUUCAGCUGGAGCUCUGGAGCUCAGCCCUGAUCCGGCACCAGGUGAUCCACAUGGGGAAACGGCCCUACCAGUGUGGGGAGUGUGGGAAGAGCUUUGGGUGGAGCUCCAAGCUCAUCAAUCACCACAAGAUCCACACCGGGGAGAGGCCCUAUGAGUGUCCUGAGUGUAGGAAGUGGUUUCUGAGCAGCUCCAAUCUCAUUGUAAUGAAUCAAGGGGUCAGCUGGAAAUGUGUUUAGGAUAAUUGAAAACUGUGGAUAAAUUGAGGGGACAGCUGGGAGUAUAAUUGAGAUAGUAGAAGAUUACAUAUUUUAGUUAAGAUUUUAAAAUUAGUUAAGAAGCUAAGUUAGCUAGCAAAAAUCACAUACCUUAGUUAAAGAGUAACAAAUAUAUUAGAAAAUUAAAGCUAGGAGUGACAGGGAUAGAUGUAGCAAUUGUGAAGGAGCAGAGACCAUAGAAAUACCUUGCCUUAAGAAUAAUCAAACAGUUAGGAGAGGCUUGGACCAUGCCCAGCAGAUCAAAAAGUCCUGCAAAAUGGCCAUCGGUGAAGAGUUUACCAUGAGGAACACAUCUUUCUUCCUCCCAUACACCCACUACCUUAUUUCAAAAUCCCAUUUAAGGGAGUACAGUUGUGCAGCCGUUAUAGGUAUUCAGCUGAUUGCAAUACGAAGCGGGCAGGUAACGAUUAUGUAUUCUGCCUCCUUAGAAACCGCUUGGAUAUGUAAAACCUUUUCUGUAUAAAUAGACAGCAGGAGUCUGCAACUCCUUGCACAUGUAUUUGGAAAAGAUUCCACAUGUGUCCAGCGCUGUGAUAAAAUAUCCUUCUUUUCAACUUUAAUUAGUUAAAGCGUCCUCUGUCCACCUGCUCGCUCUGAUUGGCUGACUCUUGUUCAUCCCAUUCGCUGAUUGGCUGAGGAGAGGCCCGGCAGUGAGAGAAGGAACGGGAGAGAUCCCGCCCCGAGCACCGGCACGGGGACAACAGAGCCAGCCUGGGCACAGCGAGGGAAUUUAUUACCAACCAAACCACAGCAGCACGAGGAGAAGGGAAAGGAAUCUCUCCAGCACCUUCCCUGUUGCCCUGAUUUUUUAAGAUUUUUCUAACCCUUCUGAUGUUUGCAUUCUUGUAACGCACUU
This is a long non-coding RNA of Motacilla alba alba, 1584 nucleotides long. RefSeq lists it as uncharacterized. The record is from RefSeq and is a predicted model, not a curated record. The transcript has 3 exons. Lineage: Eukaryota; Metazoa; Chordata; Aves; Passeriformes; Motacillidae.